GACGAACGCUGGCGGCGUGCUUAACACAUGCAAGUCGAACGAUGAAGCUGGAGCUUGCUCCGGUGGAUUAGUGGCGAACGGGUGAGUAAAACGUGAGCAAUCUGCCCUUGACUCUGGGAUAACUGCGGGAAACUGUAGCUAAUACCGGAUACGAGGCGCGAAGGCAUCUUCGGGUCUGGAAAGAAUUUCGGUCAAGGAUGAGCUCGCGGCCUAUCAGCUUGUUGGGGAGGUAAUGGCUCACCAAGGCGACGACGGGUAGCCGGCCUGAGAGGGUGACCGGCCACACUGGGACUGAGACACGGCCCAGACUCCUACGGGAGGCAGCAGUGGGGAAUAUUGCACAAUGGGCGAAAGCCUGAUGCAGCAACGCCGCGUGAGGGAUGAAGGCCUUCGGGUUGUAAACCUCUUUUAGCAGGGAAGAAGCGAAAGUGACGGUACCUGCAGAAAAAGCACCGGCUAACUACGUGCCAGCCGCCGCCGUAA
This 483-nucleotide ribosomal RNA is filed under the name uncultured bacterium. RNAcentral's name for it is "partial 16S ribosomal RNA". It matches the Rfam family "Bacterial small subunit ribosomal RNA", at positions 28 to 523 of the family's 1533-position model. The record is from RNAcentral.